UUGCACUAGACGGGGAACUAGCGAUGCCCUGUAACCUGCAAUCGCUAUAGCAGGGUUGAAUUCCCGGUUAAGGAUUCAUGAAUUUGAAGUCUGCCCUUAUUAAGUGGUGUUGACAAAUGGGUCUUGCGCAAAAAGAAGUCAUGAACCUGGUCAGGUCCGGGAGGAAGCAGCCAUAAGUGGCCCCUCUUUUGUGCCGCAAGGUAGCCUGUUUCGAGCCAACUGGUAAGGUAACGUUCUGGUCCAUGAACUCGAUGCCGGGUGUGCAU
Molecule: signal recognition particle RNA, 266 nt
Filed under: Tissierellia bacterium
Lineage: Bacteria; Bacillati; Bacillota; Tissierellia
Description: signal recognition particle sRNA large type
Rfam family: Bacterial large signal recognition particle RNA
About the family: The signal recognition particle (SRP) is a universally conserved ribonucleoprotein involved in the co-translational targeting of proteins to membranes. Archaeal SRP consists of a 7S RNA and homologues of the eukaryotic SRP19 and SRP54 proteins. In most bacteria, the SRP consists of a 4.5S RNA and the Ffh protein (a homologue of the eukaryotic SRP54 protein).
Source: RNAcentral